This is a long non-coding RNA of Drosophila subpulchrella, 719 nucleotides long. RefSeq lists it as uncharacterized. The record is from RefSeq and is a predicted model, not a curated record. Lineage: Eukaryota; Metazoa; Arthropoda; Insecta; Diptera; Drosophilidae. The transcript is spliced from 3 exons.
GGGAAUCUUAAUGGAAUCUGGUGACAACGCCUCUCCAGUGACACACUUAAGAUACCUGAUUCGGUGAUGGGGAUUACGUUCCUGGCGGCUGGAACCAGUGUUCCUGAAGCGGUGUCCAGUGUGAUCGUGGCGAAACGCGGUCACGGAUCGAUGGGGAUCUGCAACUCGAUUGGGUCGAACACCUUCGACAUCCUGCUGUGCCUGGGGUGCCAUGGCUGAUCAAGGCUGUCUUCUUCCCGAUCCAGCCGGGCCAGAACUACGUGGCAAUAAAUUCGGCCGGAUUGGAGUACUCGGCGAUCACUUUGCUGUCGACGCUGUUCUUGCUUUACCUUACCUUCUCUACGAACAAGUUCAAGCUGGAUAAGAAGGUGGGGACCGCCUGCCUAGUGAUGUAUCUGGUCUUUAUGGUUUUCGCCUCCCUCAUUGAACUCAAUGUGUUCUUUCGCGUCAACCUGCCCACCUGCGGUCGAUCAUGAGAUGGAUUGGCGUUCGAUAACUGCGCGAUAUACGAAGGCCGACUUGUGAAGUAUGAUGUGUGGAUGAACGAUUUACCAUUUUGGAUGAAUGGAUGGUGUGGAGAAAGACCAGGCAUUUAGUGCUGGUUUAGUUUUCCGUUUCAGCGUCCGGCAGCUGGCUGGAAAACCCUGAGUGCAGUCGUUUAAUUAAUUAAAAUGUAUUUUCUGUUCUAUUCUAUCUACCAUGAUAGUUGAGUUACGGUA